RNAcentral lists this ribosomal RNA (421 nucleotides) under uncultured bacterium. RNAcentral describes it as "partial 16S ribosomal RNA". It matches the Rfam family "Bacterial small subunit ribosomal RNA", at positions 360 to 773 of the family's 1533-position model. The record is from RNAcentral.
AAUAUUUGACAAUGGGGGCAACCCUGAUUCAGCCAUGCCGCGCGUGUGAAGAAGGUCUUCGGUUUGUAAAGCACUUUAAGUUGGGUGGAAGGGCUUUAGGUUAAUACACUGAAUUUUUGACGUUACCAACAGAAUAAGAACCGACCAACUCUGUGCCUGCAGCCGCGGUAAUACAGAGGGUGCAAGCGUUAAUCGGAAUUACUGGGAGUAAAGCGGGGGUAGGUGGUUCAGUAAGAUGGGUGUGAAGUCCCCGGGCUUAACCUGGGAACUGCUUUCAUAACUGCUGAGCUAGAGUACGGUAGAGGGUAGUGGAAUUUCCUGUGUAGCGGUGAAAUGCGUAGAUAUAGGAAGGAACACCAGUGGCGAAGGCGACUACCUGGACUGAUACUGACACUGAGGUGCGAAAGCGUGGGGAGCAAAC